UGAACGCUAGCGGCAGGCUUAACACAUGCAAGUCGAGGGGUAACAUAGAGAGCUUGCUUUCUGAUGACGACCGGCGCACGGGUGCGUAACGCGUAUGCAAUCUACCUUAUACUGAGGAAUAGCCCAGAGAAAUUUGGAUUAAUGCUUCAUAGUAUACAUUUAUCGCCUGGUAUAUGUAUUAAAGAUUACGGUAUAAGAUGAGCAUGCGUCCUAUUAGCUAGAUGGUGUGGUAACGGCACACCAUGGCAACGAUAGGUAGGGGCCCUGAGAGGGGGAUCCCCCACACUGGUACUGAGACACGGACCAGACUCCUACGGGAGGCAGCAGUGAGGAAUAUUGGACAAUGGAGGCAACUCUGAUCCAGCCAUGCCGCGUGCAGGAAGACUGCCCUAUGGGUUGUAAACUGCUUUUAUACAGGAAGAAACGUUUCUACGUGUAGAGAUUUGACGGUACUGUAAGAAUAAGGAUCGGCUAACUCC
RNAcentral lists this ribosomal RNA (479 nucleotides) under uncultured bacterium. RNAcentral's name for it is "bacterial SSU rRNA". It matches the Rfam family "Bacterial small subunit ribosomal RNA", at positions 30 to 504 of the family's 1533-position model. The record is from RNAcentral.